AAGGUCUCCCCCACCAUCCACCUCUUCCCGCCAUCCUCCAACAAGCUCUCAACGCAGAGCAAAGCCACCCUGGUGUGUCUGCUGGAAGACUUCUACCCCAGCACCGUGCAGGUGGCCUGGAUGGCCGAUGGCCGCACCCUCUCCAGCGGCAUCGAGACCAGCCAGCCCCAGCGGCAGACCAACAACCAGUACAUGGCCAGCAGCUACCUGACACUGAGUGCCAGCGACUGGAAGAGCCACGAGACCUACGCCUGCAAGGUCACGCAUGAGACUGGCACCAGAUCUGAGUGCUCCUAA
This is a non-coding RNA of Fulmarus glacialis (Northern fulmar), 297 nucleotides long. NCBI's taxonomy places the organism in Eukaryota, Metazoa, Chordata, Aves, Procellariiformes, Procellariidae. The record is from the annotation of a RefSeq genome assembly.